Homo sapiens (human) is the source of this 2920-nucleotide long non-coding RNA. Ensembl annotates it as TMEM51 antisense RNA 1. Its record names the gene TMEM51-AS1. The record is from Ensembl. Lineage: Eukaryota; Metazoa; Chordata; Mammalia; Primates; Hominidae.
UCUCCUCCUUCCUGGGGAGGCCACCGCCUCCCUCUCCCCCUUCUGCCCUGGGCUGGUUCCCAGCGAGGUGAGUGACCGGCACAAGUAGGGAAGGAGGAAGCGAGUUUUUAAAAACUGAGUCAGCUCACGCCCUCGGCCAGGGUCCCCACCCGAUGCGUGGUCCCCAGGGCGCCCUCGGGAUCGCACGCCCGAGUCCCGGCCCAGGUGGGGCCCAUUCCGGGUUCUUGCGCGCGGGCAAUGGAUGGGGGCGCGCUGCACCGGGAGCCUGCCCUGCUGAGGGCUCAUCCCCAGCUUUGCCGAGAACUUUCCCGGCGAGGCACCGGCUGGCGUUUUCCCAGCCUGCGAGUGGCAGGCGGGCAGCCAGUCUCUGCUCGGAUCCACGGAGGCCCGGAGCCGCCACGGAGUUCUGGCUCCGGGGAGUGCAAACCCGAAGUCGGCGCGGAAGCCUCUCACCCGCGGCUCUGCCUCCGCCCCUUGGAGAUCUGCCCUCGGAACUGCGUUGCUCUGGCGCCCGAACUAGGGUGGGCUGGUUUCAGCCAGACCGCCAAAAAACGUGGAUGCUAAACACAGAGGGAAGAGCCAGCUCCCAUUCCCUCUCUGAGCCUUAGAUUUUUUUGAAUUCCGAGAGAGGUCAGGCCGGGGUCCCCUUCUUGGGUGAGCGUCCAGCCCUUUGAAGUUCAAACACUGAGAAGCCGAUAGGCAGCUGGCUGGCGUCACAGGAUCGAGCCGAGGACUGAAGGCGCCUCCUACCGGGAAUCCACCGCCUCCAGACGAAAAUAGGCUGCAAUCAAGUUCACUUCCAAAGGCGGAAUUCAUGGGUACAUAUGGUGUCCACGUGUGUACACCUGCAGAGUUGUAACAUGCGGGCAUUUCUCCCCUCAGCCCGCCAUUCUGGCUUCUUAACUUGCACCCUAACAGCUCGACAGAACCUUGGCGUCCACAAAAAGGACUUGAGGUGGGACAUGGAAGAACAGGGACCCCUCCUGGUUUGUCCACCCAGCCCACACCUCCAUUCCUCACCCAACCUACCACUUCAGAGCCGGGAAAAGACCUCAGAGAACAUCCGCUCCGACUCUACCGAGGCUCAGACAGGCAGGAAGAGCCCUCCGGAGCCUCGAAAAGCAGAGUGGAAGUGGUGGUGCCCAGGACGCAUGGGCUCUGAUGGGAAGAGGGAGGUGGGCCUGAGCAUGGGCCUUCUUCUCCCCAGGUCAGAGGGGCCUGGAUGCCCCUGGAGGGAACACUGAGGUCACCUCUGGCCAAAUCUUCCUGUUCUGCCAGUACCCAGCCCUGUUCAGUGACGUCAAGCUUUUGGGUCCCUGUCCUGGGGCCCUCCACGCUGGCCGGGCUGUGUAGAGACGCCCUUCUCUCCACUUUAUUGGGUCCAGAUUGUUGUGUGGCUUCUCCCCUCCUCUGCAGCCUGGGGUCUGAAAACAGCGAUGCCAACAGACAGACAGAUUUCCAAAAGAAAGGUCCGGCUCAGCCAAGGACAAAGGGGCCUCGCAGAGGCUCCUGGGGGUCAGAAAGCUGAGAGUCUACCAGGCAGGUGCCUUCUCCACCCACAGGCACAAGCUACAACAGCUUUCCAAGAAGUGCAUCCACAUCGUCCCCAGGUCCAGAUGCCCACAUUGCCCUGCAGGGACCAAGACCACACUCGGGCUGCUUGGACAGGAUGUAGCUGGUCACUGUUCUGGAGCUGGCCCCUCUGUAGCCUGUGACAAUCAGCUUGAGUCUCUCUGCCAAGUCUCCGCCUUCUGUUCUUCUUGCCGACCUUGAAGCAGAGUUGACGUUUCAGGUUUUUCCAGCAGACAAAGCUCACUCAAUCUGAUACUGUGGAGGUUGUUAAUUUAACAACCAACCCAUCCUCAUGUUGAGAAACCAGCUCCAAAUGCUCACCUGGCUGUCAGGGAUGGGGAGCCUCAUGGGUGAAAGAGGGUUGUGAUGGCAUAAUUUAAACCAAAAGAGGCAUUCGCGGUUGCCCGUGUUGCCUCAGGCCUGCUGGCCUCCUGCUGUGAACAUUUUGGGCAAUACUGUCUCUGCCAGUGACCCCCAAUUGUCCACUUGUCUCCAGCAAGAUCGAACCAUGUAAGUGCCAUUUCUGACAAGUUGGGUGAACGUUGGUUUCAAAUCAUCAGCUCUGCAUUCAAGUGCCCUGCUACAAUUCUGGCUCACUCUGUGGGAAUAACUGCCUGCCUGGGCACGUUGCUGUUGCUGCCUCCCAAACGGCAGUUUCUGGGGUCCCAGGUCAUCCAGGCUGGAUGUGGCUUGGGAGAGACCUGUGGCACCAGGUUGGAGGGAGGUCUCACCUCUCCUUUCUGAGCUGUGGACUGCAGCUUCAGGACCCUAUGGAUGAGGCCGAAUGUCAUGAAGAUAAUGGAAUUUGGAGUCUCAACAAAGCCAAGCCACAUGCCAGAGAUUCACCACCUGGGGCCCAGGAUCAGAAGUGUGCCCUUAGGAGGCCAAACAUCCACCUGUCUACCAACUAGACAUUUGGUCUCAGACAGCAAGAAAGGCUGCGUUUAUGUCAUUAGGGGGAACACCACGGUCUUCGGCAUGAGAGAGGUGUAAUUCUCAAGUUCAUCAGAGCUCGGCUUCCCCCAUGAGAGGAAACAAUUUGCCAGGUUGAAGAACACACGCUUUGAGGGUUCUCAGAGGCUGACACCUGUUGUGAAUCUUGGAAACUCAAGCCCCAGUGCAAACGGCCUUGAAGGAGGUCGAGCAUCAUGGUUCCAACAAGUGACUCGCUUUGAUAACCCGAUGUGUAAGCAGAAUCGCAAUGCAUCCGUCCUUCCCUAAUCAUCACGUGGCUGUCAUCUGGUCAAUGAACUGAGGCCCGAAGGCUUGAGUCAAACUGGUUUUCAAGGCUGUGCUCAUGGGAUUUAUAUGUUUCUUGAGCCCUGUUGGAGGCUCUUGGCAGGUCUGA